CUUUCCUGUAGUUUGCUACCCAUGACUUGAGAGAUCUUUUCUUUGAGUCCUUCCCUCUAUCUCCUCCUCCCUUCCCUCUAAUUUCCUCUAGAAGAAAAAUUCCCAGUGGGCUGUAACCGUGCAGGACUUCUGCAAGCUGCUCUCCCAGGAGCUCAAGGCAACACUACAUCCCCUCAGGCUGAAGACCUGCAUUUGGGAAUUUCAAGUUCUAUUAACGGGUUAAAUUCAAGUGACUGAUGUCUCCCCCUCCCCCCAAAGAAGUCUAAGAUUGGAAAACAGACAGAAGCAGAUCUGUGAAAAUGAUGUUUUCGUCAUCUUCCUAGCCCCUCGGGCUUCCAGAGGAUUCUGGACGUCAGAGAAGCACACUUUUAAUGGUGUGGGAGCUUGCAUGAAACGCACAGCUGGGAUGGCUUAGAGAACCACGCGGCUGGGUCAGGGAACACAUGGACGGGGCAAACUCGUGGGAAGGAGUUGCCAGAUGUCAGUGACUGGUGACAACCCAUCUGCAGAGUUGCCAGGGAGCAGGACAAGGGGAACUAAGGACACCAAUCUUCCCCUCCCUCGGAUUUUUAUGAAACACAAAGUCAUCUGCAUGAAAGUACUUUUGACAUUCAGCUGGAAAAUUAUUUACCAUUGUGCCCAAGAGUGGUUUCUUAGUCUCUGAAUGCAGGCAUGAAACACCCCUGAGUCUGCCUCCAUCACAGCAGAACAUAUGCCACUUUUAAUCAAACUAACUGCUUCUCUGUUUAUUAGUCUAAACUCCCAAACCAACCUAAGGAUGAGAGGGAGAGAAAUAAAAAGCAAACAAAAACAAGACUAAAAAAACUU
This 828-nucleotide long non-coding RNA is filed under the name Struthio camelus australis. RNAcentral's name for it is "lncRNA (ENSSCUG00000012959.1)". Lineage: Eukaryota; Metazoa; Chordata; Aves; Struthioniformes; Struthionidae. The record is from RNAcentral.